RNAcentral lists this long non-coding RNA (1949 nucleotides) under Homo sapiens (human). RNAcentral describes it as "HSALNT0304756". The record is from RNAcentral. Lineage: Eukaryota; Metazoa; Chordata; Mammalia; Primates; Hominidae.
AAACUAUUUCAACUCCUUUGGGCCUGCUUACGAAUGAAAACCAUUUCUGAAGUCAGCCUGAUAACUGCUGUUGCUGUAACCUUGGGAUGACCUCUAAGCCCCCUGCCUGUGUCCAUUGAAACAAUGGCUAGCAUUGAAACACACUCUGAAUGGGCAACUCGGCUGGGUCAGUUCUUCACAGGGGCUUGGCCCAGUGUCUGGCAGACAGGAGGCACUCAAUAAAUAGCAGUUGUUUUUAUUUUAUAAAUGAGACACCUGAGGCUCAGAGGGUCAGGUAACUGACCUCAAGUUACCCAUCAGUGAGUGGCAAAACUGGGAAAAACCCCAGCUCAGCUUGAUCUGGAAACCUUGGCCUCAUUUCACCCGGCACAGUGCCUCUGCAGAGACAGAGGGCUCCUUUGUGGAGCCCUCGAGUGCUAGACGGACCCACAAAAUUACUCAUCAGCUGCAGUCCGCCCCGACUAGUUGUGGACGAUGUCUGCCAGCUGCCUACAGAAUCCACCCUUUUCCUUUGGAAUUCCCUCCUUCUCCUGACGCUGACAAUACCCUUGCCCUUCAGAGGACCUGCCUUCCCACUCUCCAUUGGACACUGUGGAACUUCUUGGCGUCCAGUCCCAAGGGCACAGCCACCGCAGGACUUCACGUCUGCCUGCCUGAGCAGGGCUGGUGUCUUAUGAAUGGCAGCUGAGACCCAGUUCAGGCUCACGACCUCAUAUCACAGAAAUGAACUCAAAGGAAAAUGACUAAUCACCGACCUACUCAGAAUCAUUGGUCCCCGGCAAGCAAGGGUGAUCCUGCAUCAAUCUAUUAAUUUUCAUUUCCAGGGUUCUCAGAUGUAAAACAAAUGUUUGAUGUAAUCCGCAACACUGCUCUGUUAUAAUUAAACAACCUCCUACUGCCUAAAUUGGCAAAGCACUCCAUCGAUCAGUGAUAAAUGUGGUCCUUGGGAGACUGCUUUUAUGUUUGUUUCACUCAUGGGAAAAUGGCCACAACCCUUUUGUAAGAUUCCUCGGCUGCUGCUCUCCCCAGGUUACAAUCAUAGUAACUGCUGCUUCUGGGAUGCCUCGCUGUAAUCCUCAUGUUCAAUGAUGGCUCAAUGGAUAUGUGCUUGAAGGAGAGUGAGUGAUGGGGAGUCUACAGUUAUGAAUAAAAUAUAUUCAAGUCAAUAAACCCUUCCUGGGUUCCUUUGCCUCACCAUUUUAUGCACAAUUUAUGAAGCACCCUACACAUACCAGGAGCUAUUUGCAAUGUUUAAGAUGUGGGAGCCCCCAUAAUUCUAAAUAUGUCAUGUAUCAUCUACUUUCCUCUUUGCAAAGUGGAGGGGUUGGAUUCCUGCCAGGCCUGAUAAUAUAGAUCUGCUGUUCACACAUAGCAUAUAGGAGGCCCUGAUGACUUCCUACUCAUCGCUUCCCUCAUUGUCCAAUUGUUGGGGCCAUUGGGCUGCUGUAUUCAGGCCAGCCCUUGCCCUAGAUCCUAGGAUCCAGCCAGACUUGAGGCAAGGAGACACACUGCUGUCAGUGUUCCAUCACCCCUAUGGUUAGGCCUCACUGGCUCUGCCACAGUUCAGACACCAAGGCUCCUGCCUUAGUUUUCUAAGAGAUGUUCCCUACAUUGCACCUGAAUUCAUCCAGUUCAUUUUCACAGAAUAUACUUGACCUAGUUUAAGCAGAAAGGGAUGUAUCACAGGCUACUAAAUGGCUUAUGAAAUCCUUGGAAAAGCUGAAUAAAUAGACCUUAGGGGGAGCCCCUAGAGCUACUCUCAAAGCUAUCUAGCAGAACCUGGCCACAUUUCCAACCAGGAAGCUGCCUGCAGAAUCAGCAAACAGCCCCCACAUCCGCUGGCUUCAGAACCACCCACCUCUGCUCUCCCCACACAAGUGAGCAGACAUCUCAGCCCUGCCUUUCUGGCCACCUGACUGCUUGCAAAUUAAAUCUCUCCCAUUUGCACC